Juglans regia (Persian walnut) is the source of this 627-nucleotide long non-coding RNA. RefSeq lists it as uncharacterized. The transcript is spliced from 3 exons. The record is from RefSeq and is a predicted model, not a curated record. NCBI's taxonomy places the organism in Eukaryota, Viridiplantae, Streptophyta, Magnoliopsida, Fagales, Juglandaceae.
AGGCUUUUUCAGGGGGUGCUCGUCGGCAAAACCUCCCCAAAGGAACAGCCUCGCUCUGCACUGCUUCGGACAUCAAUAUUCGGCAGAGGCAAGCCAAGCAGAACAGCCACCUAUUUGGCCAUUUUCAUUCGCAUCUUGGGACUCUGGAACUGUUUCUGUAUCAUCAUAAGAAAUGCCAAGAGAGAAGAGCCCUGGCUUGAAAAUCCUGUGGCUCUGGACCCUCGGCACUGCCGCCAUACUCGUCACGAGUGUUGUUCGGAAUAGGCUGCGAGAUAUGGAGAGCCUCAUGAAUGCUCAACAACAGGAACCCAUUCCCUCAGAUACGCUUCUGGUUGACACGGUGCCGGGGUCUGAGGAUGUUGUGCGAGAAGACACAUCAUAGUUGUGGUUGCGAUAAGAAGACAUGGAGAAGCAUACAGACAUGUUAGGAGAAGGUACUUGGACCAAUUUUAUUCUAUUGGACUACUUGCUGGAAUCUGAGGAAGUUUCAGAGUUACUGGAUUGUUUCGAUGUCAUCUCGUAGCAAACUUUUUUGUUGAUUUUUUUUUUUUUUUUUUUUUGUUCUCAAAAAUUUGAUUCUUGUUGGACAGGAAUAAUAUAAAAACGAUGUUCUAUGGGAUUUUUCUC